Molecule: long non-coding RNA, 696 nt
Organism: Oncorhynchus tshawytscha (Chinook salmon)
Lineage: Eukaryota; Metazoa; Chordata; Actinopteri; Salmoniformes; Salmonidae
Source: Ensembl
AAGGUAAAAUAGGAAACAGGAAGCAAAAUUCCAGAGCGGAGUUUUCCAAAAUAGAGCAGGUUCCUAAUUUCAUCUGCCUUGGCUGAUCUGCUCUUACAUGCACGACCACCGCGUGUUGAUUGCCAAUUAGUGGAAUGGGAACAGGUGUGUUGAUUGCCAAUUAGUGGAGUGGGAACAGGUGUGUUGAUUGCCAAUUAGUGGAGUGGGAACAGGUGUGUUGAUUGCCAAUUAGUGGAGUGGGAACAGGUGUGGUGAUUGACAAUUAGUGGAGUGGGAACAGGUGUGUUGAUUGACAAUAGACAAUAAGAUUACAAGUCCUACCUACGACAACCACUGCAUUUAAAAGCAAAGAGACAGUUUCUUUAUUUGAGAGUUUGUUUCUUGCUUAAACAGAGAGAAUUAAAAAAAAAAAAGGUUUCUAUUCAUUAAAAAAAAUAUAACAUUUUUUGUUUUGUUUGCUUGUAUAAUGUACAUAUCAAAUACAUUGUGUGUUGCCUCAGACCCCAGUCCAAGAUAUGGUAACACAAUCCCUCUCCACAACGCAUCCAAGAGCCCUCCUCCACUAUGGAGAACAGAAUAUCACACAUUCACGUUAUAUCUGCUAUUUCCAAGUUGUGUUCCUGAAUCGUAAGCUGCCAUAGCAACUGCUAUUUGGGGAAACAGUUGUAGUAUUACUUCAUAGUCAUUUGAUUUGAG